AUUUAUGUUUUGAGAGGCACCUCAGAAAACCCCACGCACAUGUUUGUACAAAUUGUGUGUGAUAAAAUGAGGUGCCAGAGCAAAUUG
Non-coding RNA from Tribolium castaneum (red flour beetle), 87 nucleotides. The record is from RefSeq and is marked provisional. Lineage: Eukaryota; Metazoa; Arthropoda; Insecta; Coleoptera; Tenebrionidae.